AGGACGAACGCUGGCGGCGUGCUUAACACAUGCAAGUCGAGCGGAAAGGCCACUUCGGUGGUACUCGAGCGGCGAACGGGUGAGUAACACGUGAGUAAUCUGCCCUCCACUUUGGGAUAGCCACCGGAAACGGUGAUUAAUACCGGAUAUGACCUGAUACCGCAUGGUGUUGGGUGGAAAGUUUUUCGGUGGGGGAUGUGCUCGCGGCCUAUCAGUUUGAUGGUGGGGUAAUGGCCUACCAUGGCUUCGACGGGUAGCCGGCCUGAGAGGGUGACCGGCCACACUGGGACUGAGACACGGCCCAGACUCCUACGGGAGGCAGCAGGUGGGGAAUAUUGGACAAGUGGGCGGAAGCCUGAUCCAGCAACGCCGCGUGAGGGAUGACGGCCUUCGGUUGUAACCGUUCGUUCGGUGGGGACGAAGCGAAAGUGACGGUACCCACGUAAAGAACGCACCGGCCAACGUACGUGCCAGCAGCCGC
RNAcentral lists this ribosomal RNA (481 nucleotides) under uncultured soil bacterium. Its description in RNAcentral is "bacterial SSU rRNA". It matches the Rfam family "Bacterial small subunit ribosomal RNA", at positions 26 to 518 of the family's 1533-position model. The record is from RNAcentral.